RNAcentral lists this long non-coding RNA (464 nucleotides) under Macaca mulatta (Rhesus monkey). RNAcentral's name for it is "lncRNA (ENSMMUG00000048146.2)". Lineage: Eukaryota; Metazoa; Chordata; Mammalia; Primates; Cercopithecidae. The record is from RNAcentral.
CCUGCGUGCUUUUAAUCACCGCAAUAUUCACCACCAAUAUAAUUUCCAUUGUUUUUCAGGAUCCUCAGGAAUGGAAGCAAUAAAUGUGACUUGUCUAUUAUUGGCCCAUUACAUCCAAGAGCAGCCUUUCCUCUCCUGUAUGUGGUUCUGUCAUUCCCCAAGCAAUUAAUGUCAAAAGUGAGGAGCAGGCAUUUGCAAAGAGGCCAAUUAAAGACUACAUCAUUGUCAAAAUGUCUGAAAGCCAGAAACCCAGCAGGCAAGAGAAUCAUGGCAGGAAGAUGGAGUACUUUGCCUUUGGUCCCACGUGUGGACCCAAGUUGCUUCUAUGGACUCAAGGAGAUAUUAGCAGCCAUGGAAUGCAAGGUGAUGAAACUGCCUCCAGUGAAACCUGACAUAAAGGUCAUUAAAUUAUUACAAUAGAUUAAUUAUAGAAAUUCACAACAAAAAUUUGUUUAGGCUUCCAC